UACGAAGGGGGCUAGCGUUGCUCGGAAUCACUGGGCGUAAAGCGCACGUAGGCGGCUUCUUAAGUCAGGGGUGAAAUCCUGGAGCUCAACUCCAGAACUGCCUUUGAUACUGAGGAGCUUGAGUCCGGGAGAGGUGAGUGGAACUGCGAGUGUAGAGGUGGAAUUCGUAGAUAUUAGGAAGAACACCAGUGGCGAAGGCGGCUCACUGGUCCGGUACUGACGCUGAGGUGCGAAAGCGUGGGGAGCAAACAGG
RNAcentral lists this ribosomal RNA (253 nucleotides) under uncultured bacterium. Its description in RNAcentral is "partial 16S ribosomal RNA". It matches the Rfam family "Bacterial small subunit ribosomal RNA", at positions 524 to 776 of the family's 1533-position model. The record is from RNAcentral.